This 1735-nucleotide long non-coding RNA is filed under the name Homo sapiens (human). RNAcentral's name for it is "HSALNT0230907". The record is from RNAcentral. Lineage: Eukaryota; Metazoa; Chordata; Mammalia; Primates; Hominidae.
CAGCGAGCACCGGCCUAGGGAGACACAGCCCGGGCGGACCCGGCACUGGACUGGGCCAGUCCCUGGGACCCCUGGGCACCCCGCCCUGGGGAGGGGGCCGCGCCCCAGCCUUCCGGGACGAGGUGGCGGCGCAGAGCCGGAAAGCGGGGUGGGGGGAGGGCGGUGGGGAGGUGUUCUGUCCGAGGCUGCCUGGCGGCGCCGAAGCUCGCCUCCACUUUUUGGGCACUUGCCGAGCGCGGCGCCCGAACUUUUCGCUCUAUCACCAUCUCCCUCAAGCUGAGAUGCAACCUCCCUACCCUCGCCCCAGAGCCCAGAGCCAGGAGCCCGAUCCCUCUGCCGGGCUCAGGCGCCCGCGAACCUGAGACUCGGUACGCGGCUCAGCCUAGCUCUUUCCCCUCGCGCCUCGGGGUCUCCUCGCUCCAAGGUUCUCGAAGUCUUGCGCCCGAAGGACUAAACUAAACUAAACUUCGGCUGAGUAAUGGGGGAGGAGGGGGGUGCAGAUACACAAUCCCUGCCCUAUCUCACGAUCAGGAAAGGAGAGGGCUCAUAAGGACGCCCCAAUUCGCGAGCGCCCUUGAGUCUGGCCGGUGCCACGGUCGGUUCGCGCGAAGUGGGCACCGGUCUCCCGAGCCGACUUCGUGUACUCCGGACCUGUACUGCGCUCCGGUAGAGGACCCUUCCCUUUCUCUUAGCUUCUUAAAUCUUUUCUUUUAAGGUGUAAAUGUGUGUGUGUGCCGAUGAAUGUUUCUGUUUUUCAUCUGCUGACUUUAUUUUUUUUUAUUGGUAUAACUUCUCCCUUCUCUCUCCCUGCUCGUCCGUUUUCCACCUUUUCUCUUACUUAUCUUCUGCCCUCGCUCACUCCCUAACACACACAUUCACACCCUCUCCGCCUCGCUCUCCCGUUCUCGCCAGGUCCUGAUGGGUACAGUAGAUUUUGAUAAAAAGACAAACGAAGCUAUCAGUGGGGCUGAUGUUGAAGAAUGAAGAUAAUAAUGUUUCCAUAGGUGGUGCUUCAAAUGCCAUUAUUUCUCACUGAAUAUUUAAAGAGAUCCCUCGGCAAAGAUGGAUCUGCGCACUCCUGGGGUGUGAGCGGCUCGCAUCUCCCAGACCCCGGGGAACGUGUACGGGAGCACGUGUAAAUCCCGCACCCGCCUCCAUCUCACAAACAGGGGUCCUCGCACACCCACCAAUCCACACUGUCCCAGGUACACGAACGCGUUUGUGUGCACUUGCACACUCCUUUCCCGGAAUGUGCCCGUGUUUGGAGCCGCCCGCAUCCUUCUCUAACAAUCUUGGCUUCUUGAAAGUCCGGGCCUCCCGGGCACCGCAUGCAGCCAGGAACCUAGCGGAGCUGGCGGUCCCGCAAAGCUUUUCUCCUGGUGCGCGCCGCGUGCGCAGCAGGAAGCUCCCGGGAAUAACUUCACACGUGUUUGUUACUUGGUCUACGUGUGAUUUAAGAUUAAGUGUAGGAAAAAAAAAAAUUCCCCCCCCCCAAAAAAACACCACAACAAACAACCAAACGAAAUGAACAUGCGAAAAGCAGCUACGCGAUGCUUAAUUAAAAAUGGGCGAGCAGAGACGAAUAAAUUGGGGGAUCCAAACUUUAAUAACUUUUUUCGUUUUUUUGCGUCCUCGACGGCGUAGAGGCGGGCGUUUCGAUCUGCGCUUGGCGUCCCCCGCUAAUUUCUUGUUUGUUUUCUUUCCCUCGGUGGCCCCGGGAAAGGAGAUGGGAGGU